RNAcentral lists this ribosomal RNA (253 nucleotides) under uncultured bacterium. Its description in RNAcentral is "partial 16S ribosomal RNA". It matches the Rfam family "Bacterial small subunit ribosomal RNA", at positions 524 to 776 of the family's 1533-position model. The record is from RNAcentral.
UACGAAGGGGGCGAGCGUUGUUCGGAUUUACUGGGCGUAAAGGGUGCGUAGGCGGCGGGUCAAGUCGGGUGUGAAAGCCCCGGGCUCAACCUGGGAAUUGCGCUCGAGACUGGUCUGCUUGAGUUCGGGAGAGGGGAGUGGAAUUCCCAGUGUAGAGGUGAAAUUCGUAGAUAUUGGGAAGAACACCAGUGGCGAAGGCGGCGCUCUGGACCGAGACUGACGCUGAGGCGCGAAAGCGUGGGGAGCAAACAGG